CCUACGGGAGGCAGCAGUAGGGAAUAUUGGGCAAUGGAGGCAACUCUGACCCAGCCAUGCCGCGUGCAGGAAGAAGGCGUUAUGCGUUGUAAACUGCUUUUAUAUAGGAAGAAAUAGACCUUGCGAGGUAAGUUGACGGUACUAUAUGAAUAAGCACCGGCUAACUCCGUGCCAGCAGCCGCGGUAAUACGGAGGGUGCAAGCGUUGUCCGGAUUUAUUGGGUUUAAAGGGUGCGUAGGCGGUUUAUUAAGUCAGUGGUGAAAGACGGUCGCUCAACGAUUGCAGUGCCAUUGAUACUGGUAGACUUGAGUGGGAUUGAGGUAGCUGGAAUGGAUAGUGUAGCGGUGAAAUGCAUAGAUAUUAUCCAGAACACCAAUUGCGUAGGCAAGUUACUAAGUCUCAACUGACGCUGAGGCACGAAAGUGUGGGUAUCAAACAGGAUUAGAUACCCUGGUAGUCCACACUGUAAACGAUGAUAACUAACUGUUGGCCUUUGGGUCAGUGGUACAGAGAAANCGUUAAGUAUCCACCUGGGGAGUGCCGGCAACGUGAACUUAAAGGAUUGACCGGNGNGAGAGNGCGAGACGACGAGAGGAGAGG
RNAcentral lists this ribosomal RNA (600 nucleotides) under uncultured bacterium. Its description in RNAcentral is "bacterial SSU rRNA". It matches the Rfam family "Bacterial small subunit ribosomal RNA", at positions 338 to 944 of the family's 1533-position model. The record is from RNAcentral.